GACGGACGCUGGCGGCGUGCUUAACACAUGCAAGUCGAACGGAAAGGCCCUGCUUUUGUGGGGUGCUCGAGUGGCGAACGGGUGAGUAACACGUGAGUAACCUGCCCUUGACUUUGGGAUAACUUCAGGAAACUGGGGCUAAUACCGGAUAGGAGCUCCUGCUGCAUGGUGGGGGUUGGAAAGUUUCGGCGGUUGGGGAUGGACUCGCGGCUUAUCAGCUUGUUGGUGGGGUAGUGGCUUACCAAGGCUUUGACGGGUAGCCGGCCUGAGAGGGUGAACGGCCACAUUGGGACUGAGAUACGGCCCAGACUCCUACGGGAGGCAGCAGUGGGGAAUAUUGCACAAUGGGCGGAAGCCUGAUGCAGCAACGCCGCGUGCGGGAUGACGGCCUUCGGGUUGUAAACCGCUUUCGCCUGUGACGAAGCGUGAGUGACGGUAAUGGGUAAAGAAGCACCGGCUAACUACGUG
This 468-nucleotide ribosomal RNA is filed under the name uncultured bacterium. Its description in RNAcentral is "partial 16S ribosomal RNA". It matches the Rfam family "Bacterial small subunit ribosomal RNA", at positions 28 to 507 of the family's 1533-position model. The record is from RNAcentral.